RNAcentral lists this ribosomal RNA (410 nucleotides) under uncultured microorganism. RNAcentral describes it as "bacterial SSU rRNA". It matches the Rfam family "Bacterial small subunit ribosomal RNA", at positions 509 to 917 of the family's 1533-position model. The record is from RNAcentral.
CAGCAGCCGCGGUAAUACGUAGGGUGCGAGCGUUACUCGGAUUUACUGGGCGUAAAGCGUGCGCAGGCGGCCCGUUAAGACAGGUGUGAAAUCCCUGGGCUCAACCUAGGAAUUGCGCUUGUGACUGGCGGGCUCGAGUACGGUAGAGGGGGGUGGAAUUCCUGGUGUAGCAGUGAAAUGCGUAGAGAUCAGGAGGAACACCGAUGGCGAAGGCAGCCCCCUGGGCCUGUACUGACGCUCAUGCACGAAAGCGUGGGGAGCAAACAGGAUUAGAUACCCUGGUAGUCCACGCCCUAAACGAUGGGUACUAGCCGUUUGGUGCGCGAGAGCGCUGAGUGGCGAAGCUAACGCGUGAAGUACCCCGCCUGGGGAGUACGGCCGCAAGGUUGAAACUUAAAGGAAUUGGCGGG